CCCCAUUGGUGUGAGCGCGGAGUCUCCUGCGGGCUCUGCUGGUCACUAAAAUGUGUCUGACGGUGAGAACAUUGAGCAGCAGAAUCAGGAGAAAUGGGACACCCGGGGUUAGAAUGUGGUGGAGGAACUCGAUUGUGACCCAGACACUGGAGAAUCGAACAGCGACUGUUACAUCACAAAACCAGGGGGCGUUCCCCAGCCGAUACCGAGCCGUGAGCAUAAAAUACCAGGAAAUGUUCUUUAAACAGCUCAGCACAGUCACUGCUCCCAGAACCACAGCCGCCGUUUUCUCACUGCAAUAUUUACUUUUCAGCUUCUGGCAACAAAUGGCCACAAACCGAUCAAAGGUGAAAGUGACGGUGAACCAGACAGAGCAGUCACUGGCUGCAUAAAGCAGGACGGCGUGGAUAUUACACACGGGGACGGUGUACAGGAAAUAAAACUGUUCCCGAUAAACAAUGGGGAUGUGUCUCAGGAUCAGGUCGAGGAUAAUGACCAGGAGAUCCGCCGCUGCCAUGGCCCCCAGGUAUCUGUGUUACCUGUUUGGAUACAGGAUUGGCUGGCCAGCAGAAGACAGCAAGUGGUAGCGGAAGGAAAAUAUUCUGCCUGGAAGUCUGUGAAUCCCUGCAGUGUGGAAACAAGCCCUUCGGCCCAACAAGUCCAUACCAACCUUCCAAAGAGUAACCUUCCCAUGGCCUUACAGUUACAACUGACUAGUGCACCUAAAGUAGAAAUCUCUGAACACUAUGGACUAUUGAAUUAUACAGCUUUGGGCUGUGGGAGGAAACGGGAGCACCCAUCAGAAGCUCACGCACACAAGGGGAGAAGAUGCAAACUCCACACAGAUAGUCGCCGAGGCUGGAAUUGAACUCAUGCCCUUGAUGCUGUGAUGGAACAGUGCGAACUACUGAGCCACUGUGCUAACCUGGAACCUCCCGCCAGCCUAAUGCAAAGGGAAUUCAGCCAAAUCCAACUCUCCCAGGAUAAAAUCCCAUUGCUAGCAGCUGUGUGAGUACAAUAUCUUCAGAAGCAGAAUAACAUUUUGGACAAUCUCGCAAUUUUUCCUUUUGUCAUUAGUUGCACUAAUAUUUGGACAAGGUUCUUUCAACGUGAAA
Hemiscyllium ocellatum (epaulette shark) is the source of this 1115-nucleotide long non-coding RNA. RefSeq lists it as uncharacterized. The transcript is spliced from 3 exons. The record is from RefSeq and is a predicted model, not a curated record. NCBI's taxonomy places the organism in Eukaryota, Metazoa, Chordata, Chondrichthyes, Orectolobiformes, Hemiscylliidae.